This 254-nucleotide ribosomal RNA is filed under the name uncultured bacterium. RNAcentral's name for it is "partial 16S ribosomal RNA". It matches the Rfam family "Bacterial small subunit ribosomal RNA", at positions 524 to 776 of the family's 1533-position model. The record is from RNAcentral.
UACGUAGGGCGCAAGCGUUGUCCGGAAUUACUGGGCGUAAAGGGCGCGUAGGCGGUCGUGACAAGUCACUUGUGAAAUCUCCGGGCUUAACUCGGAACGGUCAAGUGAUACUGUCGGACUAGAGUACAGAAGGGGCAACUGGAAUUCUCGGUGUAGCGGUGAAAUGCGUAGAUAUCACUUGGAACGCCAAUGGUGAAAACAGGUAGCUGGGGAUGUGCCGACGCUGAGACACGAAAGCCAGGGGAGCGAACGGG